This 451-nucleotide ribosomal RNA is filed under the name uncultured bacterium. Its description in RNAcentral is "partial 16S ribosomal RNA". It matches the Rfam family "Bacterial small subunit ribosomal RNA", at positions 28 to 523 of the family's 1533-position model. The record is from RNAcentral.
AACGAACGCUGGCGGCAUGCCUAACACAUGCAAGUCGAACUCGUGGAGCGAUCCACGAGUGGCGCACGGGUGAGUAACGCGUGGGAACCUGCCCUGGAGUGUGGGAUAACCCGGCGAAAGCCGGGCUAAUACCGCAUACGACCUGAGGGUGAAAGAUUUAUCGCUCUGGGAGGGGCCCGCGCCGGAUUAGCUAGUUGGUGAGGUAAUGGCUCACCAAGGCGGUGAUCCGGAGCUGGUCUGAGAGGAUGAUCAGCCACACUGGGACUGAGACCCGGCUCAGACUCCUACGGGAGGCAGCAGUGGGGAAUAUUGGACAAUGGGGGCAACCCUGAUCCAGCAAUGCCGCGUGGGCGAUGAAGGCCUUCGGGUUGUAAAGCCCUUUUGCACGCGACGAUGAUGACGGUAGCGUGAGAAGAAGCCCCGGCUAACUUCGUGCCAGCAGCCGCGGUAA